Molecule: ribosomal RNA, 253 nt
Filed under: uncultured bacterium
Lineage: Bacteria
Description: partial 16S ribosomal RNA
Rfam family: Bacterial small subunit ribosomal RNA
Source: RNAcentral
UACAGAGGGUGCGAGCGUUAAUCGGAAUUACUGGGCGUAAAGCGCGCGUAGGCGGCUUUUCAAGUCGAUUGUGAAAUCCCCGGGCUCAACCUGGGAACUGCAGUCGAGACUGUCUAGCUAGAGUAUGGGAGAGGGAAGUGGAAUUUCAGGUGUAGCGGUGAAAUGCGUAGAUAUCUGAAGGAACAUCAGUGGCGAAAGCGACUUCCUGGACCAAUACUGUCGCUCAUGUGCGAAAGCGUGGGGAGCAAACAGG